This 463-nucleotide ribosomal RNA is filed under the name uncultured bacterium. Its description in RNAcentral is "partial 16S ribosomal RNA". It matches the Rfam family "Bacterial small subunit ribosomal RNA", at positions 28 to 507 of the family's 1533-position model. The record is from RNAcentral.
GACGAACGCUGGCGGCGUGCUUAACACAUGCAAGUCGAACGGAAAGGCCUUUUCGGAGGUACUCGAGUGGCGAACGGGUGAGUAACACGUGGGUGAUCUGCCCUGCACUCUGGGAUAAGCCUGGGAAACUGGGUCUAAUACCGGAUAGGACCGCACUUUAGUGUGUGUGGUGGAAAGUUUUUUCGGUGUAGGAUGAGCCCGCGGCCUAUCAGCUUGUUGGUGGGGUAAUGGCCUACCAAGGCGGCGACGGGUAGCCGGACUGAGAGGUUGGUCGGCCACAUUGGGACUGAGAGACGGCCCAGACUCCGACGGGAGGCAGCAGUGGGGAAUAUUGCACAAUGGGCGCAAGCCUGAUGCAGCGACGCCGCGUGGGGGAUGACGGCCUUCGGGUUGUAAACUCCUUUCGCCAGGGACGAAGCGUUUUGUGACGGUACCUGGAGAAGAAGCACCGGCUAACUACGUG